Molecule: long non-coding RNA, 5537 nt
Organism: Felis catus (domestic cat)
Lineage: Eukaryota; Metazoa; Chordata; Mammalia; Carnivora; Felidae
Exons: 3
Source: RefSeq, a predicted model, not a curated record
GUCUGCGGUCUGAGACAGGGGACGAGGCAUGUUUUCUGAAAGGGGCCGGACAGGAAGCACUUCAGGCCUGUGGCACAGAGGCAGCCGGGGACAGCAGCUCGCAAGUGGGCGUGACCCCUUCCCCCAGGCCGGGCGGCGGUCUGAUGCAGCUCAAGGGCUACCGUUCCACGUUUGGAAUACGAGCCCCUUAGUCCUGUGUGACUUCAGCACGACGGCCCUGGGUCACGCAAGGCUCACGUGCUCCGCGACCGCGCCCUGCUUACGCUAGACUUCGGCUCGGUGCUGGAGGUGAGCUUCUCGACAGCUCACAGGAGCACAGGAGAGGGCACAUUCGCGGGGAUUCGUGGGCCAGACAGCCGCCACGUAGAGACUUAUUCCAGAUCGAGCCUCCCCACGUCUGGACACGCGUGGAUUUCCAGAGACAAACUCGGGCCGUUCCGUUCUGGCGAAGCGUCGCUAAUUCCCGCCGUACGAUAACGGUGCGGCACCGGAUUCUAGAAAUUAGGCCUCCGAGAUCCAUUAGCUGCGUGGUGCACCAUUGCUAAACGAAUGGCUGUAUUAUUAUCAAGGUAAUUCCAACCAGAUUUCAAGCCGUGACCAUAAAGUGGCUCUUGGAGUGGGUCGGGGCUUGUUCGGAAAUUGCCGGUUCGAUGAGAACAGUUAUGUUUCCAGGUUGGAAUUUUGGUUUUUGUGAAAUUCGGAACAGAAUUUUACCAGUGUGGUAAUAGCAUACUCAGGCCACCUGUGAUGAUCGGCUAAUAACGAAACGGAAUCUCUCUCACUCCGUCUAGCUGGUGGUGGUUUUUGGCGUAAGAUUACCCGGUUCUCCGCGGUGUCCAGGAUUCACAGGGAUGCUCAGUAACUCCCGCCAGGAAUCGUGUCCCUGAGAAGAGUUGACUCGAAUCCAGGACCAUCUCUCAGAUAUGGUCACACUGGCCAUGCCUUGCUCCCGAAGCCCGAUUUCUGUUCCCCGUACCCACUUUCAGUGCAAACAGGGCCCUGGGGGGGGACAGAGUGUGGGAAUCAGAUUCCCCCUUAGACCCUCCCUCUUGCUCUGAGGCCGAAGGCACAGAAGCCGGCACUGUAUGCUCUGUGACCGGACGACCGUCCCCUGAGGCCUCAUUGCUGUAACCCCGGGAUUGGUCUGUUCCACCCUCCGUGCCGUGCACAGUGUGGUAGGUGGUCCGUGAACGUGUGCCAAGUGAAUGAAGGUCCUGCGUCGUUUGUGCGCUGGGGAGCCCUGAGCGUGCCAUGGCCACAGGACCAGAGUCACACCCCCCCUCCCGCUUCCCUCACCAGGUGUCAACACUCCCUCAUAAUGAAAGGUCAUUGCCAGCCGGCACUGAAUGUCUUUCAUGAUUCUACAAGUGGCAUUAACUCAUCAAAUCCUCACCUCACCUGGGAGGCAGAUACUAUUACUGUUCCCCUUUCACAAAUGAGGAAACUGAGGCACAAAGAAGGAAGACCACCAUGAAGAAAGCUGGAAUGUCGUCCGUCCAGAAGGGGUGGCCCCCGCUGCCUGGGUCCACGCUGCUGCCCACCCCUGGCUAGCCGGUCCUACUGCUUCUGUGCUUUAACUUUCUGGUUUGGAAGGUGGGGACGGCAAGGCCAGCCACCUGUGGGACCGUGGGACUUGUGGGCACUUGUCCAUCCCCUUCCCCAGAUCCCCGAGGGGUUAGUCGCUGGAAGUAUCCGAGCAUUUCAAGACUCAUACUGUCCUUUGCUUCCAGACACAGUUGUUCCUCUGCCCUGAGACCCUGGGUGCGUUCGGACUCAUCAGCGAAUAAUUCUCUGUCUCUGGUGUCACAGUACCUAUGGGGAAUCGUACCAAUUCCCUUCCCAUCCUGAUCCCCCGUGUGUACUGUGACACCAGAGCGAAGGACCCGGAGACGGUACGUAAACCACUCCUGUACGGUGGGGAUUGAGCUGAAGCUAUGCUAAGCGCUCCCCUGGGCUUAGCCCGCUGGGGUCCCCUCCGCAGCCCCACAUCUUACAGCCGAGAAGCUAAGUCACAGCUCAGGUGUGCAAUUGCCCCGGGCCACACAGCUAGAGGGGUGCAAACCCAGAGCUCCAGGCUCCGGUGCCCACACACACCCCCAUCCCCCCGUGUCCUGUGUGCAGCAGAAUUGCGGAAGGGGGUCCGUUCCUUGGGUGUUUCCCACGAAACCGAAUGGUGGGCAGGUGCACCUUAUCCUGACGGGCUCUGCCCACUGGCUGCGGCCCGGGAGCCAGACCUGCCCUGCUGUCUGUUCUUACAAACAAAAUGGUCUUGGAGCACAGCAGACUGUCCUCAUCGUCUCUGCCACGAGGACAGCAGAGGUGAAUCGUGCUUCAGAGUUUGCAGCCCGCCCUGUGUGGAUCCUGCUCCCAUCACGUGGGCGGGCAGAGAGGGGCAGACACACAGAACCCCACAAACGCUUACCCUGCCUUCCCCGUGCUCCAGAAUCAGCCCUUCUCCGGGUUCUGGCUGCUGAAGCUCCCUCUUUCUGGCAAGUGGCCGGGACCAGGGUGGUGGCAAUGCCGUCUCCCGAGGUGCUGGCCCACCGGCUGCCGGGGGAGAGAGACUGGGUGUGCCUGGCCGUGGGCAGUGUCCUGGGGCUUCUUGACUAUCAGGACAGUGGCUGUCCGAGAAACCCGGAGGGGCAGAGGGGAGCCGGCCACGUGCGCCCUGUGUAGCAGGGGCAUCCCGGCGGGACCUGAGCUCGGAUCAGCACUCGGGGUCCAGGCUGCAGGGCGGGGAGAGUGGCCACAUGAUGCUGCGAUCCAGACCUUGCGUGGUUGAUGAGAGGAAUCUAGAAUCCACCCAGCUACUCCCACCUUGCCAUGGGAAUGGUUCCGUGAUUUAUUAUUUUAAUUAAGGGCUUUUAAGCUUUAAUUUAAAAAGUUAAAUAAGCUGUCUUUGUAUGUAAAUUGCGGCAGAGCGAGUUAUCACACAGUGGCCGAUGCAGGCUCUGACGAGAUAGCACUCUCCCGGCAGGACCCCAGUCGCCGAAUCCCCGUGGCCCGAUGCCGUAACUCCACGCGUGGGCAUCUCGGCUCCGAGCGGAGAUGCCUUCCCUGGGGUGGCCAGGCCCAGUCUGCUUUGGUGAGAGCCGUGCCUCCCUUGCCCCAGGCACAGCCUCUCCUGACCUGCGACAUCUGGGCGUGACCUUGUGGGCACCCAAGGCUGGCACUGUCUAGUGGCCUCGUGGAGCUGUUUUUACCCCCGACGCCCCCUUGCUCCUUCCAGGGAAGCAGCCGUAUUCAAAACGCAGACGCUUGUGGAGUUACGGGUCAGCUUUCGGUUCCUUGGCACGCUGUAGGAAGGGGGUCCCCGUGGGCGCGGAAGGCCACAGGGGGCAAGUCUGCAGAUUCCAGGCUCCAGCCGGUACCUCCUGCCUCUCCCUGCCUUGUCCCGGAUCUUGCCGUCAGCGCUUAGGACACAUCCGCUCCUGGUUGCUCUCUGCGUUUCGGGCACAGCGGGGCAGGCCGGAGGGUCUGCUCUGGGGCCUUAGGGGCGCCACCACACUCCAUCCUCACAUCCGUCCCGCGAAACAGGUCCUCUCCCUGCCCUGACGGGUCGAGUAACCGUGGCCCGGUCUCGCUGCCACGAACCUGGAUGUCCGUGGUUCCCAGCCCAGGCCGCCCCCGCCUGAGUGCAAAUGCAGUGCUUCCUGAAGCCCCCUCCUUCGGGGAGCGAUGGCAGUGCACUAGCCGAGCCCCAGCUGUGUCCCAGGCAACCCGGCGCCAUGGAAUCGUGUGCUCUUGCCCCAUAAUGACCUCCGUCUAAGGCACUUUGCAGCCGUAGCAUCGGGCAGAUGUGAAGCUGAAGCCAGGCAGGUUCAGCACCUGUCAAGACGAUGCGGGUCCUGCAUGCAGCCCGACCUGCUGGGGACCGAGCUCAGCUCUUUCCACAGCCCCCCUACCUGCCCAAGGUGACGUUCCUUCUGCCCCCGACUUCUGCGUCCCAUUCCCCCACCUUGCGUGGCCACCUGUCCCCAGUGGCCUCGGAGGAGGGCGCCCAUGUCUGUCUCCAGAUCUCCACUUUCCGGACGUUGGGUUUAGGGCCUUUCUGAUCCAGGCAACCUCGUCCUGAGAUCCUUGGUUCAAGUCCCUCUGCAAAGACCCUUACCCCAGUCACGUUCUGAGGUUCCAAAUGUGCACACAGUCUGGGGACUCUUCACCCCUUAGGCCCGUUGAGCACAGCGCACGUCCUUCCGUGUGCAGCCCCCUGCAAGCACACUCACCUUUGAGACCUUCGGAGCGAUCCAGAAAGGCAUCGAAGGCAGGCCCAGGGCAGACGCAGUGCCCCUCCUGGAAUUAAACAGUCAAGUUCCCAGAGGUAAAGGGGACGGCGGGCAGUGGUAAAUCUGCGGGUUUCCUCCACGUGGAGUAACGCUGAGCCUCUCAGAUGGGAGCGUGUGUUAGCAUUGCUGUCGUGGGAAUGAGUGAGCAGGUACCUGGGAGCGGGCACCUGGCUCACCUCCGGGGCACACCUGGGAAUGGGCACCUGGGCUGGAUGGGUGCCGCUGACCCGGCCUGAGGGCUGUGGCGGAAGGGGCGGCCGAGUGAGCCUGUCCCCCACUCCCUGGGCAGGAGGCUCCCCAGGUCCUGCCCGCCUCCGUUGGAAGCAUCCAUCCGCUCAAGGCCGGUUCCUGGCGGGUGCUGCCCCUCCCCUCUCACUCACGAUGCCUGGGGGGGGGGGGGCAGCUCUUAGCUGUAAAGGCUGCGUAUGUCCCUCGUCCGCAUCACACAGCCAAGAGCAGUCAUUUCUGUGCAUGACACGAACGGGAGCUCGGGGAAGAUCGAGCCUAAACCACGUGUGAACCAGAAGGGUGGGUCUGGUGAAAAUCCCUCGCAGAGAAAUGGACAGUGCUCCUCCGUCGGCCACCGAGUAGAUCGACCAAGUGUGGUGUUUUCACGCGACGUGGUAUUACCCGGCCUUAAAAAGUUAGGGGAUUCUGAUAGGGGCUGCGACACACGUGAACCUUGCUCAUGUUAUGCUCAGCGAGAUAAGCCAGACAUCGAAGGACAAAUACCGUGUGAUUCCACUCGUCCGAGGUCCCCGGAGGAGCCCAAACCACAGCGAUAGAGAAUAGACGGGGUGCCAGUCCCUGGGAGGUGGGAUGGGAGUGCCCGGUGGACACCGAGUUCCAGUUUUGCACAGUGAGAAGGUGCUAGAAGACCAGUGCGCGUCGGUUAGCACAACAGUCCCAUGCAGUUAAACACGGUGAGGAUGGAGGGCCGCUGCCUGGGGUACCACCUUCUAAAGAGCCCCGAGGAAGAAGGAAGGUCGGCAGGCAGGGCAGACAGCACGCUGGGGGAGCCCUUUGCGGGUCCUGACGUUGUGCAGAAUCAGGGAGAGUGAGCUGGUCCAGGGGAGGGUUUCUGGUUCCAGCUGAGCCCUGGGCCCCGGGAAGCAAGAAACCACCAGAGAGGAGCCCACGGAGCGUCACCCGUUAGCCUCCCAGAGGAGGGGUGAAAAGUCCCCGUCGCUGCAGCCCCUGGCCCCAGGCGGUGCUCGUGACUCAUUUUGCCAUUUGCCUUGGGAUUGGCUC